AGCUUUGCCCAGUGGCAGUAUCGUAGCCAAUGGGGUUUAUCCGAGACACGAUUAUUGCUAAUUGAAAUGGGUUAACAUAUAGAGAUUGGGAUCAAAACCCUAGUUAGUAGUAAAGAAGGCAUUUUC
Molecule: small nuclear RNA, 126 nt
Organism: Rattus norvegicus (Norway rat)
Lineage: Eukaryota; Metazoa; Chordata; Mammalia; Rodentia; Muridae
Product: U4 spliceosomal RNA
Source: Ensembl